UACGGAAGGCAGCAGUGGGGAAUAUUGCACAAUGGGCGAAAGCCUGAUGCAGCUAUGCCGCGUGUAUGAAGAAGGCCUUAGGGUUGUAAAGUACUUUCAUCGGGGAGGAAAAACAAAACUAAUAAUUUUAUUUCUUGACGUUACCCGAAAAAGAAGCACCGGCUAACUCCGUGCCAGCAGCCGCGGUAAUACGGAGGGUGCUAGCGUUAAUCAGAAUUACUGGGCGUAAAGAGCACGUAGGUGGUUUUUUAAGUCAGAUGUGAAAUCCCUGGGCUUAACCUAGGAACUGCAUUUUGAAACUGAAAUACUAGAGUAUCGUAGAGGGAGGGUAGAAUUCUAGGUGUAGCGGUGAAAUGCGUAGAUAUCUGGAGGAAUACCUGUGGCGAAAGCGGCCUCCUAAACGAAUACUGACACUGAGGUGCGAAAGCGUGGGGAGCGAAACAGGGAUUAGAUACC
RNAcentral lists this ribosomal RNA (456 nucleotides) under uncultured bacterium. RNAcentral describes it as "bacterial SSU rRNA". It matches the Rfam family "Bacterial small subunit ribosomal RNA", at positions 340 to 786 of the family's 1533-position model. The record is from RNAcentral.